CAGUUCACACGGCAGAGCGGGAUGGACCGGUCACGAUCUAUCAUGUACCUGAAGGUAGCUGACAACAACCGGGCAGACACCCACCUUGCCUUCUUCAGUGAAGCUGUGAAUGAGCAUGGCUUUCCUCUGAGGAGAUCAUGGCGGAGAAAAUGUAGGUGUUGCAGAAUUAAUGUUCUCAGUUCGUGGAACUGACACCAACAGCUUCAUUGCAGGAAAAAGUGUACACAAUCAACGGUGAGUUUAACCUAAUUUGGAAGCUUUGUGUCUGUGCGCGCGUGCCUGUGCCUGUUGACCUGCCCAGGGUGUACCCUUCGUCUCACACUUUGACUGCUAGAGAUAGGCACCAGUCCCCCUGCGACCAUUCAAGAGAUAACUCAAGUUGAAAACGGAUGUAUGGACAUGUAAAUGUGUGUGUAUAUUAUAAUUUUCUUUUAUUUAAUCCCCCUCCAAAUCCAGGAUCGAGCGCCUGUGGCGUGAUGUCUUCAUGAGUGUUACUGGUCUAUAUUACAACAUCCUGCACUCUCUGGAAGACCAAGACUUGCUCGACAUCAGUAACAUCCUUCACCUGUUUUGUUGCCACUAUAUUUUCUUGUCUCGCAUCCAGGCCAGCCUGGAUGUCUUUAGAGAUGCGUGGGACAACCAUCCAAUCAGGACAGAGGAAAACAUGACACCAAAUCAGCUGUGGCAUCUGGGCCAGGCUCUGAAUCCUGUUUCUGAUC
Nothobranchius furzeri (turquoise killifish) is the source of this 719-nucleotide non-coding RNA. NCBI's taxonomy places the organism in Eukaryota, Metazoa, Chordata, Actinopteri, Cyprinodontiformes, Nothobranchiidae. The record is from RefSeq and is a predicted model, not a curated record.